RNAcentral lists this ribosomal RNA (392 nucleotides) under uncultured bacterium. Its description in RNAcentral is "bacterial SSU rRNA". It matches the Rfam family "Bacterial small subunit ribosomal RNA", at positions 29 to 414 of the family's 1533-position model. The record is from RNAcentral.
AUUGAACGCUGGCGGCAUGCCUUACACAUGCAAGUCGAGCGGCAGCGCGGGGGCAACCCUGGCGGCGAGCGGCGCACGGGUGAGUAAUACAUCGGAACGUGUCCUUUCGUGGGGGAUAACCAGUCGAAAGAUUGGCUAAUACCGCAUGAGAUCUCACGAUGAAAGCGGGGGAUCCGAGGGUAACUUCGGGCCUCGCGCGAUUGGAGCGGCCGAUGUCGGAUAGCUAGUUGGCGGGGUAAAAGCCCACCAAGGCGACGAUCCGUAGCUGGUUUGAGAGAACGACCAGCCACACUGGGACUGAGACACGGCCCAGACUCCUACGGGAGGCAGCAGUGGGGAAUUUUGGACAAUGGGGCAACCCUGAUCCAGCCAUGCCGCGUGUGUGAAGAAGG